This 506-nucleotide ribosomal RNA is filed under the name Spinopygina peltata. Its description in RNAcentral is "partial large subunit ribosomal RNA". The record is from RNAcentral. Lineage: Eukaryota; Metazoa; Arthropoda; Insecta; Diptera; Sciaridae.
GUCUUUUUGGUUUAAUAUAAAGUUUAACCUGCCCAUUGAAAAUAAUUAAAAGGCUGCAGUAUUUUGACUGUACAAAGGUAGCAUAAUCAUUAGUUUUUUAAUUGAAAACUUGUAUGAAUGGUUGGAUGAAAAAUUAACUUUUUUUAAUAAAAAAUUGAAUUUUACUUUUUAAUUAAAAGGUUAAAAUUUUUUUAAAAGACGAGAAGACCCUAUAGAGUUUUAUAAUUAUAUUUUUAUUUAUAAAAAAGUUUAUUAAAAUUUUUAUAAUUUAAAUUAUUUUAUUGGGGUGAUAUUAAAAUUUAAUUAACUUUUAAAAAUUAUUUACAUUUAUAUAUGAUUUUAUGAUCCAGAAAUUUUGAUUAAAAAAUUAAAUUACCUUAGGGAUAACAGCGUAAUUUUUUUUUAAGUUCAUAUUAAUAAAAAAAUUUGCGACCUCGAUGUUGGAUUAAGAUUAAAUUUUAGGUGCAGAAGUUUAAAAUUUAAGUCUGUUCGACUUUUAAAUUCUU